Harpegnathos saltator (Jerdon's jumping ant) is the source of this 1765-nucleotide RNA transcript. It is a transcript of the gene named fumarate hydratase, mitochondrial, with no coding region annotated. The record is from RefSeq and is a predicted model, not a curated record. The transcript is spliced from 8 exons. Lineage: Eukaryota; Metazoa; Arthropoda; Insecta; Hymenoptera; Formicidae.
UCUCAUUUUAUCCCCGCAGAGGUAGACGAUUCGCUAAAUAAGAGUCGAGUUGUUGUCAAAAUCUUUAUUGAAAACGUUGUCGCAGUUGAAAAAAAUGACGCUAAACAUACUGAAGUGUCGUGCUACUAAUUGCGGCUUGCGUCAAUUAAAAGAAUUGUCAGUUUAUUCAGCACUAAAAUUAUAUUUGUCUACUUCAGCAGUUAAGAUGUACAGUAAGGAUUGCGAAGGAAGCAAAGGUUACAGAAUAGAAAGAGAUACAUUUGGAGAACUAAAAGUUCCAAGUGAUAAAUAUUAUGGUGCCCAAACUCUUCGAUCAGUGAUGAAUUUUCCAAUUGGUGAUACAUUCGAACGUAUGCCUUAUGGUGUGAUAGUUGCUAUGGGUAUAUUAAAAAAGGCUGCUGCAAAAGUAAAUACAGAAUAUGGUUUGGAUCCUAAAAUUGCUGAUGCCAUUAGCAAAGCUGCAGAUGAUGUAAUAAGUGGAAAGUUAUAUAACGAUCACUUUCCCUUAGUUAUUUGGCAAACUGGAUCUGGCACACAAACCAAUAUGAAUACCAAUGAGGUUAUUUCCAAUCGUGCAAUCGAGAUACUUGGUGGUGAACUCGGCUCAAAGAAACCUGUGCAUCCAAACGAUCAUGUUAAUAUGUCACAAAGUAGCAAUGAUACUUUUCCAACAGCUAUGCAUAUAUCUGUGGCCUUGGAAAUCAACAAAGUUUUGCUACCAGGUUUAGAACAAUUGCACAAAGCAUUAAAGGAAAAGUCAGAAAAAUGGAAGGAUAUUAUAAAAAUUGGUAGAACGCAUACUCAAGAUGCAGUCCCCCUGACAUUGGGUCAAGAAUUUUCAGGGUAUGCUAUGCAGAUCGAAUAUGGCAUUAAGAGAGUGAAAGAUACGCUACCGAGAUUGUAUCAAUUAGCUCUCGGUGGUACAGCAGUCGGAACUGGAUUAAAUACACGAAAAGGCUUUGCGGAAAAAACAGCUGCAAAAAUCGCUGAAUUCACCAACUUACCAUUUGUUACCGCUCCGAAUAAAUUCGAGGCUCUGGCUGCGCAUGAUGCGAUAGUCGAAGUACACGGUGCUCUUAAUACGGUGGCUGUUUCUAUCAUGAAGGUGGCAAAUGAUAUUAGAUUCCUUGGAAGUGGACCGAGAUGUGGUUUAGGAGAAUUAUCUCUUCCGGAGAAUGAGCCUGGAAGUUCUAUCAUGCCUGGAAAAGUAAAUCCUACGCAGUGUGAAGCAAUCACUAUGGUGUGCAGUCAAGUAAUGGGCAACCAUGUAGCGGUAUCCGUUGGUGGCAGCAAUGGACACUUUGAGCUGAACGUUUUUAAACCUGUUAUGGUUGCCAACACUUUGAGAUCCGCGAGGCUGUUAGGUGACGCCUGCAACGCGUUCACAAAGAAUUGUGUUGCAGGCAUUGAACCAAAUAUUGAAAAUAUAAAGAAGAUAAUGAAUGAAAGUUUAAUGCUUGUCACAGCAUUAAAUCCGCAUAUUGGUUAUGACAAGGCUGCUGCAAUAGCUAAACAAGCGCACAAAGAAAAUCUGACACUGAAACAAUCUGCACUGAAACAUGGAUUAACGGAGGAGCAAUUCAAUCAAUGGGUUAAACCUGAACAAAUGCUUGGUCCGAAAUAAUUUUCUUGUUGAAAAAUGUUGAAACAUGCAGUGUUAUAAAUGUAAUAUUCCGUAACAUAUUUGAAUAAAAAUAAAUAAGACCGCUUGUUGGGUACGGGUACUUACAAGGAUGAUUGUAAUUACAUGUGUAGUGGAUAAUCA